RNAcentral lists this long non-coding RNA (1074 nucleotides) under Theropithecus gelada (gelada). RNAcentral's name for it is "lncRNA (ENSTGEG00000011134.1)". The record is from RNAcentral. Lineage: Eukaryota; Metazoa; Chordata; Mammalia; Primates; Cercopithecidae.
CCGGGACCUGCGGCGUCGCCGGCGGGUUGCCUCCGCCCUCGGACCAGCCCCGCGCGAGCCGGGCUCCCCCGGCGCCCUCCCGCAUCCGCCGCUCCCGGCCCCGCCUGGCCGCAGGGCCCGGGUAGGAAGGACGGGACCGGCCCGGUGGAGACCUGGCCCCACUGCACGAGGGUCCCUGGAGAUGCCAUUCUGAGCCGAGAAGCGGCUGCUCUGGCCGAGGCCGUUUGCGUGGCAGCGCUUGCAGGUCUGCGGCAGACCACCCACCGCGAUCAUCUGGCUUUGUUCUUACAGAAGCCAGGUUGAAGCUACCCCAUACCCAAGUAGCCCCAUCCAAUGGGAAAUUCCAAAUCAAGGCCUCCAAAGAGGGAUUUCUGUGUUUAGCUGUUUACCCACCCAUUCGGCGAGUAGCAGACCCUGACUGUGCUAGACACUGGAAGAAUGGCCGAUGGAGGAAGAGGACUUACGCCAAAGUCGAGCAGUAAAGGAAAGAGACAAACAUAUAAACGGGAGACUAUUGUAUGAUGUGAAAUGUCUGAGGCUUGGUGUAAUUGCUUCAUUUUGGUAACUCUUCUCAUUCAAGAAAUGAGUAUAAAUUCCAGAGACUCCAAACCUUGAAUUCAACUGAAACCAACCCCCAAGUAAAGGAGAAGAUGCUCAGGAUGGCUGGAGUUUGAACCUAGUCAACUGGUAGGUGAGUGUGUGUGUUUGUGAUAGAGGAAAAUCUGGGUUUUGUUUGAAUUCCCAAGACUGCCCUAGAUGAGGAAGAAACUAAUACAGACUCUUCCUAAUCUGAAGUGCCUCUAAGAAUAUUUGUGUACCAGUUGAGUAUCCGUCAUCCAAAAUGCUUGGGACCAGGAGUGUUUCUCCGAUUUUGGAAUAUUCGCAUUAUACUUACCAGUGGAGCACUUCUAAUCCAAAAAUCCUGAAUCCGAAAUGCUCCAGUGAGCAUUUCUUUUGAGCAUUGUGUCAGCAGUCAAAAAGUUUCUAAUUUUGGACCAUUUUGGAUUUCAAAUUAGGGAUGUUUAACCUGUACUAAGAGUACCGAACUACUGUACUGAGUUGCCUUAAGGCUCC